This 497-nucleotide ribosomal RNA is filed under the name uncultured bacterium. RNAcentral describes it as "partial 16S ribosomal RNA". It matches the Rfam family "Bacterial small subunit ribosomal RNA", at positions 28 to 507 of the family's 1533-position model. The record is from RNAcentral.
GAUGAACGCUGGCGGCGUGCCUAAUACAUGCAAGUCGAGCGAACAGACGAUGAGCUUGCGCCUCUGACGUUAGCGGCGGACGGGUGAGUAACACGUGGAUAACCUACUUAUAAGACUGGGAUAUCUUCGGGAAACCGGUGCUAAUACCGGAUAAUAUAUUGAACCGUGUGGUUCAAUAGUGAAAGACGGUUUUGCUGUCACUUAUAGAUGUAUCCGCGCCGCAUUAGCUAGUUGGUAAGGUAACGGCUUACCAAGGCGACGAUGCGUAGCCGACCUGAGAGGGUGAUCGGCCACACUGGAACUGAGACACGGUCCAGACUCCUACGGGAGGCAGCAGUAGGGAAUCUUCCGCAAUGGGCGAAAGCCUGACGGAGCAACGCCGCGUGAGUGAUGAAGGUCUUCGGAUCGUAAAACUCUGUUAUUAGGGAAGAACAAAUGUGUAAGUAACUAUGCACGUCUUGACGGUACCUAAUCAGAAAGCCACGGCUAACUACGUG